CGGAUUCAGGGCUUGCGGCUGAAGCCCGCGGAGCUCAUGGCUUCGCUCGGCCGGCGGUCGGUGUUCGGGGCGGCCGGAUUGGCC
This 84-nucleotide transfer RNA is filed under the name Actinoplanes regularis. RNAcentral describes it as "tRNA-Met". Lineage: Bacteria; Bacillati; Actinomycetota; Actinomycetes; Micromonosporales; Micromonosporaceae. The record is from RNAcentral.